RNAcentral lists this ribosomal RNA (301 nucleotides) under uncultured bacterium. Its description in RNAcentral is "partial 16S ribosomal RNA". It matches the Rfam family "Bacterial small subunit ribosomal RNA", at positions 509 to 809 of the family's 1533-position model. The record is from RNAcentral.
CAGUAGCCGCGGUAAUACGGAGGAUCCAAGCGUUAUCCGGAUUUAUUGGGUUUAAAGGGUGCGUAGGUGGCCUGUUAAGUCAGGGGUGAAAGACGGUAGCUCAACUAUCGCAGUGCCCUUGAUACUGAUGGGCUUGAAUGAACUAGAGGUAGGCGGAAUGUGACAAGUAGCGGUGAAAUGCAUAGAUAUGUCACAGAACACCAAUUGCGAAGGCAGCUUACUAUGGUUUUAUUGACACUGAGGCACGAAAGCGUGGGGAUCAAACAGGAUUAGAUACCCGAGUAGUCCCUGUCUCUUAUAA